UGCUGUUUUGUUAGAGGGUGGGCUAUGUACUUAUGUAGAUGUGUGUAUGAGUAGAUUUGUUUGUUGUUUUUCUAUUGGGAAGCUUGAUGAAUUAUGUGAAGUUAUUUCAGGGAAGUGAAUGUUUUGUUAUUAUCUGGUUUGUUUGUUUGUGUGGUGGAGUGAGGGUGAUAAGUUUUGAGAAGAGCUUAGAGGAGACUUAAACCAGCUUUGUAUGAGAGGGUGUUCCUUUUGUUGGAUGGGGAUUGUGGCUUCUCAUGUGGGGGUCCAGAAGCUAAGAAAUGUUGAUUUAUGUUAAUGAAAUGUGUUUAUUUGUGUUAUUCUGGUAAGAGUAGUUCUAAUUUUGUGCUUUCUAGUGGUAGUAGUGAUUUGGAGGUACCUAUCUUAAAAGUACUGGAAGAGGAUGAUUUCCUUAAGCACUAAUUGUUCUCAGAGCGUCAUGUUUAAAGUGUAAUGUAUGAAUAGGUUCUUGAGGUGUAAAACAUGACUUUGAGAAGAAAAAAAUUUUCUAAAAACAUGACUUAAGAAGAAAAGAAUUUAUUUGUAUGCAAAUUAAUAGGUCUGAAAACAGUUAUUUUUUCGUCUUUUGGUUUUGGAUAAGGUUGGAUGAGAAAAAUAGCCUAAAUACAUGCCUGCAAGGAGUUAAUUAUCAGGAGCCUCAUUGUAGGCAUUGUCUUAAAUCCUGCUUAAGAGAAAAGCAGUCUUCUCUUCUAUGUUCCCCUAAACAAAAUUCAUCAAAGCUGUUCUGAGGAUUUAAAAGGACACUGUGUGUUUUCUGCCUUUGUGUACAAGUGGGGACUAUCAUAAUGAGCUCUGCAUGCUAGAGUUUCUUUAUCUUUGGAUAAAGUUUUGCAGAUCUUAAAUUGCAUGCAAGUUAGUUAUUUGGAUUUGGGAUACAAAUCUCUAACAGCCUUCAGUGCAAAGAAGGUUGUGCUAAUUGACUGUCCUGUCAGAAGCUGCAGAGUCUCUUGUACAUCCCAGAGACAGACUUUGUGCUACCGAUUACUAGGCUCCUGGAAUGAGCUCCUAUACAAGAAGUGCAGACAGCAGCUCUGAUCCCUGACCAGUAGUUACUUGGUCUGCUUCUCACAGGAACACAGAUCCUUGGAUCUCUUCUUCAGGUACAGAGAAUCUGCUGCAGCUGAUGGAACAGCACCUUCAAUUUGCUCCUUAUGCUGUGGAAUUUAGGAGGCUCAUGCACUUCAAUUAAAUGAAAUUGCAAAACUAAAUAACAGCUUGCCAUCCGUCUGAACUUCUCAGAUCCAUUGGCAGCUGUGUGCUCUGGAAGGGGGAAGAUUACAGUAGGCAAAAUGGAUGCAUUAAAACUGCUGUCUGUGUUCAGAGUAGGUGUGUAUGGUGCAGAAUGCCUCCUGUACCUUAUAUCUUCCUCUCUGUCAACGCUGUCUUCUGAAUAGAAGUUACCCUGACUGGGGCACAACAGUACCUGUCCUCAUCGGCUUCUUCGAGUACGCUGGAAGUGCUGAAACCCCUCAUGCUGAAAGAAGUUUACUGUGCUCUUGAAUAAAUGUGGCAUUUUAUUUGUAAUGAGAUAAAUCACAAGACAAUGAUCAGAAAACAUGUGGCUGAGGUGCAAAUGGCAGAGAGAGAACUAGGUGCCUGGACUCAAAUACACAAUGUGGAAAUCAUCUGUUUGUUGGCUGUUCAGGCAUGUUUGUUGUCAGACUCAGUUGGACAAAAACCACCCAUCUGGAGCCCAUGGUGGUGUCUCCCUCUCCUGUGAAAUACUUGAGUAGGCUGGCUCAAAAAGAUAAGCAGACUUCAGUUUGUUCAACAACUGGUUUUGCGACUUGAAAUGUACACAAACUGUGUUGUAUCAUUGUACAAGUUGGAAUUUAAUUGAAUCCUCCCUCUUAAUCCUUUAGGAAUCUCUCACACCUUUUCCCAGAGUAUCAUGUUCAGUUCUGCUGGUCCUGCACUGAAACCCACACAUAGAAACCUCAGUAACUGAGAACUUUCUGGGAGACACCAACGGCUGCUACUCCAGCAAGGAGAUGAAAUCUUUGUUCCAGUGUAUGAUUAUACAAAAAUAUUCACCAGUGGUUAUCUUUGCUGAGGUGACGUAUCUGGACUGAGCUGUAGCGAGUUUGAAUGAAAUGAAAGCAGGAAGAAUAUAUGGAGUUUUGUCUCUUAUCUGUCCUGGGCUUUAUGAGAAAAUGGAAUGAAGAUUUUCAGUGAAGGGAAAAAAUAGCAAAGCUGUCAAGCAUCAGGCAUACAAAAUAACUCAAGUAAUUUUUUUUUUCUUUUGACAAGAAUGUA
This is a long non-coding RNA of Lagopus muta (rock ptarmigan), 2274 nucleotides long. RefSeq lists it as uncharacterized. The transcript is spliced from 3 exons. The record is from RefSeq and is a predicted model, not a curated record. Lineage: Eukaryota; Metazoa; Chordata; Aves; Galliformes; Phasianidae.